ACGAGGGGGGCAAGCGUUGUUCGGAAUCACUGGGCGUAAAGGGCGCGUAGGCGGCGCGGUAAGCGUGUGGUGAAAGCCCGGGGCUCAACCCCUGAUCGGCCGUGCGAACUGGGGGGCUGGAGCACUGUAGAGGCAGGCGGAAUUCCGGGUGUAGCGGUGGAAUGCGUAGAGAUCCGGAAGAACACCGGUGGCGAAGGCGGCCUGCUGGGCAGUUGGCUGACGCUGAGGCGCGACAGCGUGGGGAGCAAACAGGA
This 254-nucleotide ribosomal RNA is filed under the name uncultured prokaryote. RNAcentral's name for it is "partial 16S ribosomal RNA". It matches the Rfam family "Bacterial small subunit ribosomal RNA", at positions 525 to 777 of the family's 1533-position model. The record is from RNAcentral.